GGGGUUAUAGCUCAGCUGGGAGAGCGCUUGAAUGGCAUUCAAGAGGUCAGGGGUUCGAAUCCCCUUAACUCCACCA
RNAcentral lists this transfer RNA (76 nucleotides) under Synergistaceae bacterium. Its description in RNAcentral is "tRNA-Ala". It matches the Rfam family "tRNA". Rfam says of the family: Transfer RNA (tRNA) molecules are approximately 80 nucleotides in length. Their secondary structure includes four short double-helical elements and three loops (D, anti-codon, and T loops). Lineage: Bacteria; Thermotogati; Synergistota; Synergistia; Synergistales; Synergistaceae. The record is from RNAcentral.